RNAcentral lists this transfer RNA (72 nucleotides) under Colletotrichum orbiculare MAFF 240422. Its description in RNAcentral is "tRNA-Val (CAC) (tRNA-Val-CAC-1 1 to 4)". It matches the Rfam family "tRNA". From Rfam's summary of the family: Transfer RNA (tRNA) molecules are approximately 80 nucleotides in length. Their secondary structure includes four short double-helical elements and three loops (D, anti-codon, and T loops). The record is from RNAcentral. Lineage: Eukaryota; Fungi; Ascomycota; Sordariomycetes; Glomerellales; Glomerellaceae.
GGCUGUGUGUUCUAGUGGUAUGAUUUCUCCUUCACACGGAGAAGGUCGUCGGUUCGAACCCGGCCACGGUCA